CCCUUAGACGUUCUGGGCCGCACGCGCGCUACACUGACCAGUGCAACAAGCAUCCGUCCUUGGCCGACAGGCCCGGGCAAUCUUUGAACGCAGGUCGUGAUGGGGAUAGACUUUUGCAAUUUUUGGUCUUCAACGAGGAAUUCCUAGUAAACGCAAGUCAUCAACUUGCAUUGAUUACGUCCCUGCCCUUUGUACACACCGCCCGUCGCACCUACCGAUUGAAUGGUCCGGUGAAGCCUCCGGAUUGGCGCGCACCUCGGUGCCGCCGAGAAGUUGGCUAAACCUUACCAUUUAGAGGAAGGUGAANUCGUANCA
This 315-nucleotide ribosomal RNA is filed under the name uncultured eukaryote. RNAcentral's name for it is "partial 18S ribosomal RNA". It matches the Rfam family "Eukaryotic small subunit ribosomal RNA", at positions 1470 to 1796 of the family's 1831-position model. The record is from RNAcentral.